RNAcentral lists this long non-coding RNA (1268 nucleotides) under Dromaius novaehollandiae (emu). RNAcentral describes it as "lncRNA (ENSDNVG00000012741.1)". The record is from RNAcentral. Lineage: Eukaryota; Metazoa; Chordata; Aves; Casuariiformes; Dromaiidae.
CACAGUUGUGUAACCAUCUUUACAGAAAAGGUGUGUCUCUGUGCCCAUCAUGGAGCUCCAGGCUCCAUCAGUUUUGAAAACCGGUAUUUACUUCACAUAASAGGCAUUGUAAAUCUGAUGACUUUUCAGCAAGAGCCACUGGAGACAGUGGUUGCUUGCUCUCUGGGAUCUCACUAAGAAAGAGUCUACCUGGGGUACUAAGUCCUGCUUCUUUUCCCUCCUUCAGGUCUGCCUGAUAAGUUGGAGAUACUUGUAUGAUUGCUAUUCUGCCUUUUGAAUACUGUAUGUUCUUGCCACGACAAAUCGGUGCUGAAAUUGCUGGCUUCUUCCACCCAUUUUUUAUUAAGUUGCAGGUAGGGCAUAYGUCUGACAAGUUGCGUGGCUGUAAAACAGUGUGCCACAGGAGGCCAAGCUGCGUUUGUUACCAAGGACGACUGUUGUGGCACUGGCACAAUGUACAGGAGACACCCACUCCCCAUAUAAGAACUCAUAUAAUGCACUCCCCAUCACCACCCACUACAGGAAUGUAAUUUAGCUGAAUCCAAGCAUACCACAAGGACAGUAAAAGCAGCCAUCAUACCUGGUGUCUUCCACAAGUGCUUUGGUCCUCUCAAUAUUCAGCUGUCAAAAGCCAUUGAUCAGCCCAGUUAUGACUGCAGAAAAGCAAGCAGUAUAAUGAGAAUGGCCUUUGCUGACCUCUUCAGAAACAAUGCAGAAAGAGAGCAUCGCCGGUGUACAUCAGGUAGCUAUAUGAAGAUCUACAAAAUAUGUUACCAGAAAAGAGCCUAAGUGAAAUGAGACCAUCUUAAACAAAUACAAGGUAAAUUUAAGAAUCUUAACAGAUUUUUUUUUUUUUUUUUAGUGAAACAGAAGUAUACUAGAAAGUGUGGUAUAUUUAAGGAAAGCAUUACUUAACACUAUCCUUUAAAGCAUACUGUCUUUCCAGUACUGCACAGGAUUAUUCGGCUGGUGCAACACAUUUCGCCAAGCUUAAAAUGAGUGGCACUAUUUUCGUUUCCACACCAGGCAUUUUCAGUUACUGCUCCAUAAGAUGGAAGUCAGCUAGAAGACCAAGAUUCAGUUUUGGAAGCUGUGGCUCAUACACAUGAAUGRUGGUCACAGCAGGUUCUGUGGGAAAAUGCCAGACUUCAUCCAGUUCAUGUAGGACGCUGAACUUGGUUAGUGCCCAAGAAGUUGUAAUAUCUUGCUAAUGGACAGUUUCAGAAAAAAWAAAUAAAUAAAUCUGUUAAGGGCUUAUUAUUUCUUGA